Molecule: ribosomal RNA, 253 nt
Filed under: uncultured bacterium
Lineage: Bacteria
Description: partial 16S ribosomal RNA
Rfam family: Bacterial small subunit ribosomal RNA
Source: RNAcentral
UACGUAGGGUGCAAGCGUUAAUCGGAAUUACUGGGCGUAAAGCGUGCGCAGGCGGUGAUGUAAGACAGGUGUGAAAUCCCCGGGCUCAACCUGGGAAUGGCAAUGGAAACUGGCGGGCUUGAGUAUGGCAGAGGGGGGUGGAAUUCCGCGUGUAGCAGUGAAAUGCGUAGAGAUGCGGAGGAACACCGAUGGCGAAGGCAGCCCCCUGGGCCAAUACUGACGCUCAGGCACGAAAGCGUGGGGAGCAAACAGG